CCUACGGGAGGCAGCAGUGGGGAAUUUUCCGCAAUGGGCGAAAGCCUGACGGAGCAACGCCGCGUGAGGGAUGAAGGCCUCUGGGCUGUAAACCUCUUUUAUCAAGGAAGAAGAUCUGACGGUACUUGAUGAAUAAGCCACGGCUAAUUCCGUGCCAGCAGCCGCGGUAAUACGGGAGUGGCAAGCGUUAUCCGGAAUUAUUGGGCGUAAAGCGUCCGCAGGCGGUCUUGUAAGUCUGUCGUUAAAGCGUGGAGCUCAACUCCAUUUCGGCGGUGGAAACUACAAGACUAGAGUGUGGUAGGGGCAGAGGGAAUUCCCGGUGUAGCGGUGAAAUGCGUAGAUAUCGGGAAGAACACCAGUGGCGAAGGCGCUCUGCUGGGCCAUAACUGACGCUCAUGGACGAAAGCUAGGGGAGCGAAAGGGAUUAGAUACCCCUGUAGUCCUAGCCGUAAACGAUGAACACUAGGUGUCGGGGGAAUCGACCCCCUCGGUGUCGUAGCUAACGCGUUAAGUGUUCCGCCUGGGGAGUACGCACGCAGUGUGAACUACAAGAAGUUAGACGGCGUGAGACGUGCCGACGGACGACGACGAGGGAGUAGG
Molecule: ribosomal RNA, 600 nt
Filed under: uncultured bacterium
Lineage: Bacteria
Description: bacterial SSU rRNA
Rfam family: Bacterial small subunit ribosomal RNA
Source: RNAcentral